UACGUAGGUGGCAAGCGUUGUCCGGAUUUAUUGGGUUUAAAGGGUGCGUAGGUGGUCUAUUAAGUCAGUGCUGAAAUAUCCCGGCUUAACCGGGAGGGUGGCAUUGAUACUGAUGGACUUGAGUAGAGUCGAGGUAGGCGGAAUUGACGGUGUAGCGGUGAAAUGCGUAGAUAUCAGGAGGAACACCUGUGGUGUAGACGGCUUACUGGACCAUGACUGACGCUGAGGCACGAAAGCCAGGGGAGCAAACGGG
This 253-nucleotide ribosomal RNA is filed under the name uncultured bacterium. RNAcentral describes it as "partial 16S ribosomal RNA". It matches the Rfam family "Bacterial small subunit ribosomal RNA", at positions 524 to 776 of the family's 1533-position model. The record is from RNAcentral.